Long non-coding RNA from Athene cunicularia (burrowing owl), 1929 nucleotides. RefSeq lists it as uncharacterized. NCBI's taxonomy places the organism in Eukaryota, Metazoa, Chordata, Aves, Strigiformes, Strigidae. The transcript has 7 exons. The record is from RefSeq and is a predicted model, not a curated record.
UGAAGCAUGUGCAGUUGCACAGUCUCCUCUCCGUUUGCACCAGCUUUGGCUUCACUGAGGUUGGCAAGGUCGGUAAUGAAAAAUGUCUGAGGUAUCUACCAAAGCAGCAGUCCUCCCUCAUGUUUGGAAUGUAAAUGCAGCUAUGUCUUGAGAUCUGGACAAGAGGUGCUAUCAAAAUGAGGUUCUCCUCCUUCAGUGGCAGAGAAGGAAGCUCUGAACUGCUGGAGACAAACUCACGUUCUUCCCACCGGAGAGAUCAGCCCUCAACAUUUCUAGCAGUGCUGAACUAUGGUCGUGCAGUGGAAGAGUUGGGGACCUCCCAGUGACUCAGUUUCUGAUGAAAGAGACUAAUCUCCUACAGUCAGGACUGCCAACAUUACCAUGGAAACCCCCAAAAAUAAAGACUCUUCCAGCCUUGUGAGAGCACACCUGCAAGAGCAAGAAUUGCCUGUCAAAAGCGACUCUCCUUCGUUCUUGGUGUCACCUAAGGACAUUUUUUGUGGACUGGAGCUUCCUGUUGUAUACAUGAAAAAUUUUCACAGAGAAGUAGUCUGGUGUUUAUGAGAAGAAAUCUUCCCAGAAGUGCACAGGAGUGAUUUUCCCCGGACAUUAGUGACUCUUGUGAAGUUCAGACAACUUCAGUAAAACCAGGCUUACAAGGAAGGACAUGGAACACUCAGAGAUCACAGACUUUAAAAAAAAAUCCAAAACCAGUCAGCAAUUGCAUCUUCCACACGUGACAUCAGUCUAUCUUAUAAAAAGCAUCUCAUAGGGGAGGAAAUGUCCAACAGUAAUAUUAAAUGAAUGUAACAACAAAACCAGUGUGCAUGUUCAGAAUACAGAGGCCAAAGUACACCUGAACAGCACGCCUAGCAAUUCAAGAGACUUUCUAUAUUUAAAGUGAACCAGACAGAAUCAUCACAUACUGAAAAAAUUGACUAGGAAAUGGCAUUUUUUUAACUCUGUACUUUAAAAAUAUAACCCUGGAAGCCACAAUUAUUGUCUUGACCAUCUGGCAAUUGAUAACCAUUAUGAUUAGUGGGACACUGACUUCCAGUGUUUCUCAAGCACCUUCUGCAUGAACUGCAGCAACACCUUGCAUAGAGUAUGAAACAGAAGGUCUCUCUCAUCAAUGCCACAGUGCCCAAUAGGCACAGCUCUUUUGAGAAACAUUCCUAGAUUCAGCAGUUUGCCUGAAUUUCAAGCAAAAGAUGCCUCGCAAUUGCUAAAAUCCAGACAAAGGCCAACCAGACCUAGCCUGGUUCUGCUGAUGAUGCUUUGCGCGCUGAUGAACUCAACUGAAUGGGCUGAAGAGUGAAGCACCACAAAGGUCAGGGGAAUAAAAGCAGUUUGAAACCACCCUAUUAUGAGUCCACCCUGGCAUCCGUAUGGGCUCCCACUGCCAAUGGUACAAUUUGUAAACAACCUCAAGGCUCCACGGUGGUGAUAGACAACCUGAUGUCAAAUCUCUCCUUCUCGCUGGCUCAGCUAAAUGUUCAGAGCAGGGAGGCAAGAGACGCAGGAGCUACCGCACAGACUCGGUCAUCCAAAGGCUGGUUAAACUAAUUCAGGGAUACAAGCGGCUCGCAGCAGCCUAGCAUACCACUGAACCACACCCUUCAAGUUAUUUCCAGCAAUCCUAACAGCCACUGCAGUCUAAGACCGCCUUGGGGUUUCCAUCUGAAGCCCAGAUCCUGUAAGAAACACGCUACUGCAGGAUUCAGGGUCAUGUUCUAUGCUUUUCAGGAUUCUUUAUCCUUAAACUAAAGUUCAGGUUCCUGCUGCUCAAACAAACCUGGAAAAAGCCUGUUGGUUUAAAACCUUAGUAGGUAAGUCAAACCCCGUCAAAACCCAACUACUCUGAGGUAUCUCAUUACUUGCAGUCCCUUCACCUCAAACUAAUUUGAUUUUAAAACUGAAAUUAAGCAA